AGAGGAUUCGAUGAGUUUGAUCGUGGCUCAGGACGAACGCUGGCGGCGUGCCUAAUACAUGCAAGUCGAGCGCGGGAAGCGAGCUGAUCCCUUCGGGGUGACGCUCGUGGAACGAGCGGCGGACGGGUGAGUAACACGUGGGCAACCUGCCUGUAAGAUCGGGAUAACUCCGGGAAACCGGGGCUAAUACCGGGUAAUACUUUCUUUCGCAUGAAGGAAAGUUGAAAGAUGGCUUCUCGCUAUCACUUACAGAUGGGCCCGCGGCGCAUUAGCUAGUUGGUGAGGUAACGGCUCACCAAGGCGACGAUGCGUAGCCGACCUGAGAGGGUGAUCGGCCACACUGGGACUGAGACACGGCCCAGACUCCUACGGGAGGCAGCAGUAGGGAAUCUUCCGCAAUGGACGAAAGUCUGACGGAGCAACGCCGCGUGAACGAUGAAGGUCUUCGGAUCGUAAAGUUCUGUUGUUAGGGAAGAACAAGUACCGUGCGAAUAGAGCGGUA
RNAcentral lists this ribosomal RNA (502 nucleotides) under Halobacillus sp. Its description in RNAcentral is "bacterial SSU rRNA". It matches the Rfam family "Bacterial small subunit ribosomal RNA", at positions 1 to 477 of the family's 1533-position model. Lineage: Bacteria; Bacillati; Bacillota; Bacilli; Caryophanales; Bacillaceae. The record is from RNAcentral.